GAUGAAGAACGUAGCGAAAUGCGAUACUUGGUGUGAAUUGCAGAAUCCCGUGAACCAUCGAGUCUUUGAACGCAAGUUGCGCCCGAAGCCAUUAGGCCGAGGGCACGCCUGCCUGGGUGUCACACGUCGUUGCCCCCCCAUCUACUCCUUCGGGAUUGCGGGGGGCGGAUGAUGGCCUCCCGUGCGCCUCGUCGCGCGGUUGGCAUAAAUGCCAAGUCCUCGGCGACGCACGCCACGACAAUCGGUGGUUGCGAAACCUCGGUUGCCCGUCGUGUGCGGUCGUCGCGCAUCGAGGGCUCGAAAAAAUUGCCGGGCUCCGGCUCGGCUUUCAACGCGACCCCAGGUCAGGCGGGGUUACCCGCUGAAUUUAAGCAUAUCAAUAAGCGGGGA
This 390-nucleotide unclassified non-coding RNA is filed under the name soil metagenome. RNAcentral's name for it is "partial contains 5.8S ribosomal RNA, internal transcribed spacer 2, and large subunit ribosomal RNA". The stretch from base 1 to 122 matches the Rfam family "5.8S ribosomal RNA", at positions 35 to 154 of the family's 154-position model. The record is from RNAcentral.